AGGUGCUGUCUCUCCUGCUGUUGUUGUUCUUUACACGAUGGUGUUGCAAGAAAAUGGAUAUGGUGUUGAGGAAGACAUUCCAACCUUACUAAUGGCUGCUAGCAGUAUGGAUGACAUUCUGGCUCUCACUGGAUUCAAUACAUGCUUGAGCAUAGUCUUCUCCUCGGGUGGUAUGCUUAAUAACGCCAUAGCCUCUAUAGGGAACGUAUGUAUUAGUCUGCUGGCAGUAAUUGUUUUGGGACUUUUUGUUCGAUAUUUUCCAAGUGAAGACCAGAAAAAACUUACAUUGAAGAGAGGAUUCCUUGUUUUGACUACGUGUGUUUCUGCUGUCUUAGGCAGCCA
RNAcentral lists this long non-coding RNA (342 nucleotides) under Homo sapiens (human). Its description in RNAcentral is "novel transcript". The record is from RNAcentral. Lineage: Eukaryota; Metazoa; Chordata; Mammalia; Primates; Hominidae.